GCCUACGACCAUAUCACCCUGAAUGCGCCCGAUCUCGUCUGAUCUCGGAAGCUAAGCAUGGUCGAGCCUGAUUAGUACUUUAAUGGGAGACUGCCUGGGAAUAGCAGGUGUUGUAGGAU
This 119-nucleotide ribosomal RNA is filed under the name Petromyzon marinus (sea lamprey). The record is from RNAcentral. Lineage: Eukaryota; Metazoa; Chordata; Hyperoartia; Petromyzontiformes; Petromyzontidae.